GACGAACGCUGGCGGCGUGCUUAACGCAUGCAAGUCGAACGGCAAGGCCCUGCGUUUGUGGGGUGCUCGAGUGGCGAACGGGUGAGGAACACGUGAGUAACCUGCCCUUGACUUUGGGAUAACUUCAGGAAACUGGGGCUAAUACCGGAUAGGAGCUCCUGCUGCAUGGUGGGGGUUGGAAAGUUUCGGCGGUUGGGGAUGGACUCGCGGCUUAUCAGCUUGUUGGUGGGGUAGUGGCUUACCAAGGCUUUGACGGGUAGCCGGCCUGGGAGGGUGACCGGCUCCAUAGGGCCAGGGGUAGGGCCCAUGCUGAAACGGGGGGCAGCGGCGGAGAAUAUUGCCCAAUGGGCGGAGUCCGGAUGGAGCAACGCCGGGUGGGGGAUGCCGGCUUUUGGGUAGGAAACCGAUUUGGCUUGUGCCGAAGCGUGCGUGAGGGUAAUGGGGAAAGAAGCACCGCCUACCUACGU
RNAcentral lists this ribosomal RNA (467 nucleotides) under uncultured bacterium. RNAcentral describes it as "partial 16S ribosomal RNA". It matches the Rfam family "Bacterial small subunit ribosomal RNA", at positions 28 to 506 of the family's 1533-position model. The record is from RNAcentral.